CGGAGCAUGCGGCUUAAUUCGACGCAACGCGAAGAACCUUACCAAGGCUUGACAUAUACAGGAAUAUGGCAGAGAUGUCAUAGCCGCAAGGUCUGUAUACAGGUGGUGCAUGGUUGUCGUCAGCUCGUGUCGUGAGAUGUUGGGUUAAGUCCCGCAACGAGCGCAACCCUCGUUCUGUGUUGCCAGCAUUUAGUUGGGGACUCACAGGAGACUGCCGGGGUUAACUCGGAGGAAGGUGGGGAUGACGUCAAAUCAUCAUGCCCCUUAUGUCUUGGGCUGCACGCAUGCUACAAUGGCUGGUACAAACGGCUGCGAUACCGCAAGGUGGAGCGAAUCCGAUAAAGCCAGUCUCAGUUCGGAUUGGGGUCUGCAACUCGACCCCAUGAAGUCGGAGUUGCUAGUAAUCGUAGAUCAGCAACGCUACGGUGAAUACGUUCCCGGGGCUUGUACACACCGCCCGUCACAUCACGAAAGUCGGAACACCCAAAGUCAGU
This 494-nucleotide ribosomal RNA is filed under the name uncultured Actinomycetes bacterium. RNAcentral describes it as "bacterial SSU rRNA". It matches the Rfam family "Bacterial small subunit ribosomal RNA", at positions 933 to 1431 of the family's 1533-position model. The record is from RNAcentral. Lineage: Bacteria; Bacillati; Actinomycetota; Actinomycetes.